CCUUUGAUCCCAACCCAGUUAAAUUGUAGUUUUUGUUACUCAUUGAUAUACAGUUUUUGUUUUCUGUGUUUUUUAAAAUUUUACUCAGUAUAUGCACCAAAUGGUCUUCCUUUACCAUGACAGCCAGGAUUAAUCGUGAUGUUUCAGAAACUAUUAAGAGGCUAACCCUUUGUUCUGCAUCCAGGGAUAUAGGCAUCCUGCAAAGCAAAUAUGAUUACCACCAUUUUGCAGAUGAAGAAAAUGAAGCUCAGGAAGUUUAAAUAAUUUGAAAUCUUUGGAAGUUUAAAUAACUUGAAUAAAAUAGCCAUAAAGAUAAGCAGGAUUUGAA
Long non-coding RNA from Cercocebus atys (sooty mangabey), 328 nucleotides. RefSeq lists it as uncharacterized. Lineage: Eukaryota; Metazoa; Chordata; Mammalia; Primates; Cercopithecidae. The record is from RefSeq and is a predicted model, not a curated record. The transcript has 2 exons.